Molecule: ribosomal RNA, 468 nt
Filed under: uncultured bacterium
Lineage: Bacteria
Description: partial 16S ribosomal RNA
Rfam family: Bacterial small subunit ribosomal RNA
Source: RNAcentral
GAUGAACGCUGGCGGCGUGCUUAACACAUGCAAGUCGAACGGAAAGGCCCAAGCUUGCUUGGGUACUCGAGUGGCGAACGGGUGAGUAACACGUGGGUGAUCUGCCCUGCACUUCGGGAUAAGCCUGGGAAACUGGGUCUAAUACCGGAUAGGACGAUGGUUUGGAUGCCAUUGUGGAAAGUUUUUUCGGUGUGGGAUGAGCUCGCGGCCUAUCAGCUUGUUGGUGGGGUAAUGGCCUACCAAGGCGUCGACGGGUAGCCGGCCUGAGAGGGUGUACGGCCACAUUGGGACUGAGAUACGGCCCAGACUCCUACGGGAGGCAGCAGUGGGGAAUAUUGCACAAUGGGCGCAAGCCUGAUGCAGCGACGCUGCGUGGGGGAUGACGGCCUUCGGGUUGUAAACUCCUUUCGCUAGGGACGAAGCGUUUUUGUGACGGUACCUGGAGAAGAAGCACCGGCUAACUACGUG